AAAACAAUCCUGUUACUACAGUAGCUUCAAACCGCUUGCUUCCAGCCUAUAGAAGCAACUGUAUUGAAAUAGACACCAAUUAUGUAGACCAUAUGGGAAACCAUAACCAGAUUCUGACUGUAGUAAUAAAACUAGAUAAUCUGCUUUGGACCUAGAAGUGAAAUUAUUGAACAUACAGUCUGUAUCAAAGUGAGGAUCAGCAGGGCAGCUGCAGCAACAAUACCGGUACCUCUCCAAAGAUUGCUGAAAUAUACAAGUUUCAAGGUUGCCUUUCUAUGGUUGCACCUGUUCUCAUAGUAGGCAUUCAAAUCAACACAAAGAUCAUGAUAACAAGUGAAAAAUUCAUUAAUUUGCUAGCAAAGCCGGUUAAUCAAAUCGGCAACCAUGGCAUUGUUUCCUAGCCAGUUAUCAAUCACCCCCACUUUAACCAGCAAAUCCACAUCUUCUUCAGUGUUGAUAAGAUGGUCCAUUAACAUAAAGUAAUUGCAUAUGUAAGUACUAUAUGGGUAGUGGCACUGCUCAUAUGCCAUGAGGUUUCGUGUCACAUAUUCAAAGCUCUGAUUUACUUCAAAGCGUGGCUUUUUCAACACUCCGUUGACAAAAUUUAUGUCGAGUACACAACUGUUUUCAGUUGCCUCAAACUUCAAUCCUGCUUUAUGAAGCAUGGUUGCACUGUAUUUCAAUUUGACAUUGGCACUAGGACGACGAGGUAAUAUCUCCAGGAAAAGUAAGGUUAGCUUGUGUUUCAGGGUCUGCAUAGGUUUUCUCGUAUAUUUUCUCCAGAAUGAAAUAAGGUAGCUGAUUUUCAAGUAGUAUCAAGUCCACUUGUAAACCAAACAUCAUCCGAGGCUCAGGUAAUAUAGGAACUUCUUCACAGAAAAGGUUAAGGAACUGCAACAAGAAUUCGAUGACGAAUACAGCAUCCAACAGAAUCAUCUUUACAAAAUCGUCACAGCUACGAUUGAAGUUAUAACAGCCUCGAAUUUCCAUUUCAUUCUUCUGAACUAUGGUCACAAGAUCGUCCAAUGUCACCUUCUUCCCAUCCAUGAAUUCUGCUAAAUAUGUCAAUUUCUGCUUCUCCAUGGACACUAGUUCCUCAUGGCCACAGUGAGCAGGGCCCAGUGAAACUACUUGUGGGGUGUAGGCUUUCGGUUCUAUGCUUCGAAGUGAGCGGGGUACCUCGUAGAUACAGUGCUCGGGACAUUUUCCAGGUUUGAACCUUGCUAUCCCAUCUGCUAGAUCUUUUUUUUUUAUUUUUUAUAGUAAUCGAGAAUAUUAUAAAUAAUACGCCCCAUUAAGGAGAUGAGGGCUGAUAAGGAAGAUUACAUGGGAAAUUAAAAACACAUUAAGAAAACAAGGAAUCUAAAGACCUGACUAGUUAGUCCAGUUCAUAAUACAUUCAGGAUUCCUAUAAAGAUUAGAGCCCGUAUAGUUGAAAUUUUUAACAAAGGAUUUCAACCAAAAGGCCAACCGAUGAAAGGUGAGGUCAAAAAUCACAUCCUAGUCUGGAGUUUUGUUGUCAAAGAUCAUGUGGUUGCGCGCUAUCCAAAUUGACCAAUAUAAUCCUUUACAGAGAAGGGUAAUUGCCUGACGCUGAAAUUUUCUUUUUACCAUGUUGGACCAUUCCUGAAGGUUAUGAUAUGGUUCUUUUGGCAGACAACCUACACACCCAAACCAACUAAAUAGUCUCCCCAAAGAGACCAUGAAUUUGGACAAAGAUGGAAAAGAUGAUGUGGUCUCAAUCUCCUUGCAGCAGAAAGGACAAAGAGCUUCCUCGUAAUUGAUGAUUCUCCUCUCAGCUAAGAAACCUUUUGUGCAGACACUGCCAUUAGAAAAAAGCCAUUUGAACACAUCUAUUUUUGGAGGCGCAAACCCUUUCCAAAGCAAAGCAGGGGAGUGAAGAUGUCCUGAAACAUUUAAACCGUCAAAGAGAUGGCACCCAGAGGAGACUGUGUAAUUAUUGAAGCUGUGGUGUUUCCAAAUCUUGUUGUCUUCACCAUCAGAGAAGACUAGGCCACGUUCCACUUCUGCUAUCAAGCUUUCAUACAUGCAGAGUUCUCGGGAUCGAAGUAGUCUUUUCCAAGAAAGAUUGAUUGAGUUAUCUGUUGGGUUAUGAACUUCUGCAACGUUUAAAGAUUGCUGCAGGGAAAGGUUGUAGAGCCUAGGGAACAUGAACUGGAGAGGGACUGCAUAGCCUAGCCAAGAAUCAGACCAAAACCUGAUGUUUCUCCCAUCACCCACCUUAAACCCAACAUUGGAUUAGAUGGGAACGGCUAUGCUGUGAUUUAAGAAAAUUGCAGAUACCAUGCCACGCCAAGUUGGAGAUAAAGAACCUGCAAACACAGGAAGACCAUUUGUAAAAUGUGGCCGGUACUUUCAUAAAAUGAGCUCUUGCCAACCUCCUACCACUCUUUUGUUAAGGUUCCAAAGCCAUUUAAACAUCAGAGCCAGAUUUUUACUGUGAAUAUAACAUUUGAAGCACUUGCCGCUUCAAUCUCCUUUCCCGUGUUUGAAGCACUUUUGCCUGAUCAAUCCUGUUUUCAUUAUUUGAACGUGUUGCCAUGCCAAUAUCCUUAUUUUAAGCACUUGGGGUAUUAAUAUUGUUUUCCAUUUGUCAACAGAUUUUUGUCCUGGAGAGACAGCCAAUUGAAUCACUGGCGAUAAAAAUAUAUCUCCAAAUCAAGUGUACCAUGGUUGCUACAAUCUUCCAUUCAUUUCAAUUCACAUUUAAAACGAUCGAUUUAUUUUUGUUUUCCAGCCACUCUUAACAAGUUUUAAGACCAGAUCAAACAAAUCAAAACAACGGUACCAUGGAGAAGAGUUCAACGUUUGUAUGUCUCUCUUUCAAUCUAACUUCUAUUCAGUAACAUUUACUUAAAUAUCUACUAUUUAUUAGAAUUGCAGUGUUGAUCAUCUUUCUAACUUUAUUUAUACUUCUAGAAUCCAUUUCACUUUUUGCACAACAUGUCUCAUAAAACUAAUUUUUUAAAGAAAAACACUUAAAAAAUUAAAAAGGAAUAUUAAAGUAUAGAUGUGCAAGUCAGGCUCAAACUUUAUUAAUGUGUUUAUUAUUAUGAUAGUAAUUAUUUUUUAAAGUAUUUUUAAAAAAUAUAUAUAUAUAUUAAUAUUUUUUUAUUUUUUAAACUUAUUGUUAACUUCAACGUAUAAAAACAAUUUAAAAACAUUAAAAUAAAUUAAUUUUAAUAAAAAAGCCAAAAUUGUUUUCUGCCGAGUAUAGAACCGUUUUGGAAUAUUUAUUGCUGAAGCAAUGUAAUUGCCGUUUCCGAAGGAAAGCUGCGCGCUGGGAUAUUUUUACGUACACAAUUCCUUCGGAAGUAGUAUGUAUGGAUAUCCUACACAGCUUAUCAGCUGUGAUCUUACGAGAGAAUCUUAAUCUUUCGUUAUAAUGGAGCAAUUAACCUCGCAGGGUAGGGGAGAUCAGCCAAGUAAUCGAGAACUCAUGAGGGUUAAAGCCUAAAAGACGAACUUCAUUUAUCAUUAAGAAGUAAGAACCGCUAAAUUAAGGCUUAAUUGAAAACUUUAAACAAAUAUAUUUGGUGAAACAAAAGAUGAACAUGAACAGAAAGAAAAAAGAACACUAAAAGUAGCUAGUGCGCAAAGAGCCUAAGUGCCUUUACCCGAGGAAAGCAAUUGUUUUGUUGUAAGCAGCACACAGCCCCUUCCCUGGAUAUUGCUAUACUGAUCUGUUGAAUGCAGCCUCCCUCUCUCACUCUCUCUGUCUCACUAAUAUGUAUAAUAUACGAGUAGUAUUCUUCUCUCUCUAGUUGUCAUUGUUUCUCUCUCGUUUGGAAAUUACCGUCUUUUCAUUUUUUUUUAGCUUCCAUCCAUGGCUUUUCAUAGUUUUUAAUAUCGUAGUUUUUUUCACGCUUAACUCUACGUAACUUUAUAGUUAUUUUCAAAAGGAAAUGAAGACAUUGAUCUAAGAAAUGCAUUUUUUUUUCCUUUUAAAAUCCAAAUCUUUCUAACUCUUACGAAUAUUGAUUUUAAUUAUUACAUGAUUAAAUAAAAAUUAGUUUUUGAAAUUACCCCCACAACAUCAUGCGGGCGGAAAAGCUGCUGUAAUCUAAUCAAGAACGAUGACAAGACCAUUCUAUUAUAUUACUAACAAAGACCAAGUGAAUGACUUCUACGUGAUAACGGGACGGGAUUGAUAAAGAAAGGCAAAGGUGUCUGUAUCCGUUGUGGGUUACUCUCUCUCUCUCUCUUUCGAACAACAGUGGCUGUGGUGGGGAUGGGACUUGGGAUUUUGGUGAACGAUGAUAAUCAGAUGUGGGGGCAUUUUAUUAUAAAUAUUAUCUGAGCAUCCUAUGGCAUAGCCCACUGUAAUGAAGUGACUAGUGGCACGUGGGUGGGCCUUAAGUCUAGAAUUGUGUUCUUGGACUUGAUUUUUUUUUUUUUUAUUUUAUGUUUUAAAGGGUUGGAUAUCAUUUUUUCUUUAAAAAAUACGUGAGCAAUAAGUCACCUGCUGAGGCACGUAACAUUUUAUCUACUAGUCUUGAUUACAACUACUACUGUGAUAGCUGAAAAAUCAGGUUAAUAUAUAUAUUUUUUUAAUAAAUUCAAUUUUUAAGUCCUUUGAAUUCAAAACACCUCAUGAAUAUCUUGAAACACCUAAAAACCAAUUUAUCAACCAAAACCACCUCAAAAAAUCCAAAAACCCAAUACAAAUUAAAUCUCCUAACCUAAUACAUCAAAUUUUCAACACAAAAUUAAGAAACCUCACAAACUAGAUAACCAGGGUCCAUUGAUCAAUAAAAAAACAACACCAAUAUUCCAUUCCAUGGUGGUUUGAUCAGCAAGAAGGCCCUUCAUUAAAGGAUCCUACGCCUCUCGAGAGUCGACUUCUUUCAGAUAGAAGAAUAUUACUACCAGUCAAGAUCGAGGGAGCAAUGAGCUGGAUCCAUCUUUUCUUCUUGACAUUGACCAAUGCCGAGAAAAGACAGAGGAGAUGGAGAAUUAAUUAGUGGAGAGCAAUGCAAUCAGCUUUCAAAACGAGAGUAGUUUAUCUUGCCCUCCCUCUUGAAGCUUCAAAUGAAAUGGAUCUUUAAUGCCGUCGUUGCAAGGCCAAACUCGGUAACUAUGGGAGUGUUUGGCAUUGCGUUUGUACCUGUGUUUUGUCAAAUUUUGAUUAUUUUUUUUUUGGCUAAAAUUGAGUUCGGUUUGUACUUUUUAGAUUGUUUUGAUGUGCUGAUGUCAAAAAUGAUUUUUAAAAAAUGAAAAAACAUCAUUGGCAUGCUUUUCGGCACGAAAAGAUAUUUGAAAAGCAACCACUAUCACACUAUCAAACACGCUCUAUACCGAGAUAUGGAUAACUUCUUUUUUUUAUAUAAAAACAAGUUAAAAUUUAAAAUGAUAUUAUUUUAUUAAAAAAAUAGACUAUUUUUUAUCCAAACUGUUGAGAAUAAUAGAAUGUAUUAAAUUGUACUUUUAGACAACUUUUCUAUUUAUAUAUAUACAACAAAAUAAGACAGUAAUUAUAGGGAUUACAACAUUAAAAUAAUUCUAUAUUAAUUUUCUAUUCUAAUAUAUACAUGCUAUAAAUUCUAUAAUAUCUAUGUUUGCUUCUUGAAAUAGACAUUGUUUUAACCAAGCAAAGUUCUUAUUUUCUUCGAGUUAUUGAGUUAAACCAUAAGUCAGCUAGAUAUUACUUACUAGUUUAUCACUUAUCUUUUUGCACCAGGUUGGACAUAAUUUUUUUGGAAUAUAAAACAAAAUCUAGAUUAUCAGAAAUUUUUAAGUAUUAUCAUUAAAUUUAGUAUAAAUAUUUAAAUUUGAAAAAUCUUAAUUUGACUAUUUUUUUUAAAUAUUUAGUUAGUGUUUCAAGCUCGCAACAUGAAUUAUGUAUUCAAUUAUGUACUCAAUUGACUUUGAUUAAUUAUUUUUUAUUUGAUGAUAAAAAACACAAAAAAUAAUUUAUCAUUAAUUCAAUACUCAAGAAUAAAAUUCAAUAAAAAUCUCAAAUUAAAUGAUGCAAUUAGAAAAAAGGGUAAAAGAUAAACAAAAUAGCAAAAAAAUAUGUCAAAAAUUUUUUAAAAAUAAAAAUAUUAAUUUAAUAUAUUUAUAAAUAAAAAACAUUUUUAAAAACCAAACAUUACUAUCCCACCAAACAUUACUAUCCCACCGAACACCACAUUAACCAAUAUGUUAUAAAAAAUCUCAAGGGGUCCAUUCCAUAGUAGUGGUAUGACACAGUUAGCAAUUGUGUCUUUAAAUAAAAUAAAAAUAAAGUAGCCAAUCCUAUCCCAGAUAGUGACAUUAUAUUUUUUUUCCCAUUUCUUUUUAUUGAACAAUCGUCAAAUUUCUCACACAGAGAUUAAAUUAUCCAAUAAAAACAAGUUAUUUAUACAAAUCUUAAUGUAAUAUUUAGCAUGUUGACAAUAUUAAUUGGACCUAGUUGUCUUGUGUUAGAUGUUCUUUGAACUGUAUUGAAUCUUUUGUCUUAUUAUAAUUUUGAUUGACAUUGAACGAGACUUAAUCAAGCCUAUAUCUGGUUCGGUCCAGAUUUUAAAAAAAAAAAUAGAUGAAAUAUUGGUCAGAUCUAAUAUAGUAAAAAUCCCAAAUUGACAUGCAACUCAAACGACUUGAGAUAAAACACGAAUAAGAAAUUCAUUGAUUUUUUUAUUUAUUAAAAUAAUUUUUUUUUGAUUUUUUUUUGAUUUGGAUAAACUUGGUUGAUCACCUCUUCUCAGUAACCCAAGCCUUACUUUCAAGUUAAGUUUUAAAACUAUAAUAAUAAUUAUUUUUAUACAAACAUUAACUUAGAUCAACCAGAGUUGACCCUUUAGACCAGUGAAAUAAGCAUUAUCCCAGGUUGACCUUCAAGUUGGAUUUUAAAACUAUGUUAUAGAUAUUAUGUGAAAAUACAGUUUCUCCUUUGUUUUUUUUAUCUUUUUUUUCCUUUUCUUUUUAAUUUUUAAAAAAUUCCUUUCAUUGCUAUUUCUUUUACAUUGAAAAAAGUUUUUAAAUUGAUUUUUUUUUUAUGGUUUAAUCAUUCGACAUUUAAUUGGUCGAGUGUUUAGCUUCUUGGUUGAGCUUUUAUCUAGAUUUUAACAUAUUGUAGGUUUGAGAGAUUUAUCUGGGUUCAUUUAUUUUUUUAGCCAUUUUUUAAGCUCCUUUUAGUUUCCCCAAUAUGUUUUUUUGGUCUUUGUUAAAUUUAUAUUUUUUAAAAUGAAUUUUAUUUUUAAUUAAAUUAAAUUAAUUUAUUUCAUCAGUCGAUAUUAAACUAGUUAGGUGUUGAGUCUUCUUGGAUGAGCUCGAGUCUAAAAUUUAAUCGAUUGCAAGUUCGAGAGAUUAACCGGGAUUUAAAACGCUCACCUGUGCUUUUUUUCUUAAGCUCUUUUUUUGUUUCAUUUUCUAACAUUGUUUUGCUUCUUCUUCUUGUUUUUUUUGUCUAUAGAAUUUUUUAGUUGUUUUGAAAAUAAUACGGGUUAUCUCGAGUUUUUAUUUUUUUGUAUUUGUUGAAUUCAAAUGUUUUAAAAGUAAUUUUGUUUUUUAAUCAAAUCAAAUUAAUUGAUUAAAUAUAAAUAUAAAAUGCUUGUUUCAUUGUAUUUUAUUUUUUAAUUAAAUUAAAUUAAUUUAUUUUAUUGUUUGACAUUAAACUGGUCAGGAGUUGAGUUUUUUUGAAAUGAGCUUGGGUCUACAAUUUAAUGGAUUGCGGGUUUAAAAGAUUAACCCGAGUUUAAAAGGCACACCUAAGCUCUUUUUUUUUUUUAGCUUUUUCUUUCAUCGUCAAACAUUGUUUUGCUUUUUUUUUUUUUUUACUUUCUAUAUAAUUUUUUAGUCGGUUUGAAAAUAACAUGGGUUAUCUUAAGUUAUUUUUGGAUUUAAUUUGUUGAAUUAAUUUUUUUUAAUUAAAUUAAAUUAAUUAAUUAAAUAUAAAUAUAAAACACUCAUUUCAUAAUAUUUUAUUUUAUUUACUUUUUGGAAAGUCAUCUUGAACUGAUACCGUAUAAUUAAUGAACACAUGGCAAUACCUUCAGUCCGCGAGUGCUCUUUGCCUUGCCUCAAUUGAGUGACGUCCUAAUUUGCCUCAGCUGAAAGACAUCAUAUAUUCUCUAAUCAUCACCAAACUGCUCUCUAAUCACCAAAAAAUUAAAAAGAAAAGAAAAGGCAAAUAUAACGUGCUAGGUUCAUGAUUUGUUUCUUAAUUAUUUUUUAAUUGUAAGUUGAAACUCAUUUGACGUAUUGCUGAAACUUAAGUUUAUUUUUUAAUGAAGGCCUUCGAGAGUCUAAGGUUGUCCCCAUGCGUGAACUGUUAUUUUUGUUUCUAUACAUUACUCUGAUGAAAUGAAAAUUAAAUAUUUUUCUUCUGGUGUUAUAAUUAGUGUAAACAACUCUAGGCAAUGCUUUUUUAUUAUUCCUAUGAGAGGUUAAGGUUAAGGCACUAGAGGAGCUAUAAAUUUUUAAAUGAUAAGGUACCAAAAUUAUUCACAAUUAAUGUUGUUGUUGGUGACUUGUUAUUUUGUAUAAGUGAAUUAAAUAUAAAUAUAAAAUAUAUUUUUUUAAUUUAUUUAUAAUAUCUUUAAUUUUUUGAGUUGUUUUGUAUUUUAUUUUUAAUCACUAGUAAAUUUAUCACUAUUAUUUUUCAUAAGAAAUUCAUAGUGAAAUACUUAUCAAUUCAUCAAAACUCAUUUCAAUCCAUAUUCAUUAGCAUAUGAUAUUACCCAUAUACAUAUCAAUUCAUCAAAACUCAUUUCAAUUCAUAUCAAUUAGCAUAUACACAUAUUAAUUCAACAAACUAAAAAUUUAUUAUAAACCCAACAUUUUCAAUAACUAGUUAUUCAAAAGUUAUUUGCUUAACUAAUUAAUAGCUUAGGAGUUGAAGAGAAAUUUUAUAAAAAAGAGAGAGUAGGGACAAUAGUGAAAAAUAAAACAGAGCUUGGAUCAAUUAGCAGCUAAUAAAUUAAGAAAACUAACCCUAUAAAGUUAUUAUAUUAAUAUUUUAAUAUAAAAUACUUAAAAAUAAAAAAAGACUAAGGGGGCAAUUGCCCCUCUCUUGCCACAUUGUGGAUAAUCGAACAUUUGGUAAAUAAAAACAAAUUAUGUGUAAAUAUUUUUAUUGAAGUGUCUUGCAAAUGGGCCAACUGUAAUAGAGAGAAAAAAAAAGUUGGCAUAAAAUAGAAAUUGUUUUGGAACGUAAUAAAAUAUUGACACCGACAAUCAAUUAAAGAUGCUCUUAAUUAAUUAAUUUUUACAUUACUGAAAUAAAUUAAGAGAGUAGUGGAGAGGGGAGGACUCCUCCUCCUAUAUAUAACAUGCACAAGAGACACAAGUUACAGAGAAUGGAAGUGUGAGAGAGGCUGCCAUUUUUCAGCUAAAGCAGUAUAUAUUGCGUCCAGGAUCAGAGGAAGCUCUGCUGUUUGAUCUCCAUUUGUAAAAUAUUAUUACAGUUUUUCACAGGCCAGGUACUCGGUUUCUCUGUGUUUUUUUUUUCCCUUUCAUUAUUUUUAUUCAGCGUAUAAUUUCUUUUUAUUUCAAUAAAGCUAGUUUUUAAAUUACUGCAUGAUGUAAGUUGUUAAUUAACUCGUUAAUUAAAUAAAUUACCAUGAGCAACCUGACCCUACCCUCGUGUGAAUAUCGGGUUUAAUGAUUAAUUAAGAGGUAUACUCCUUUCUUUGUUAAUUAUUGAGUUUAAAGUUGGUUUAGUUUGUAAGGGAAUAAAGAAGCAAACAAUUUUUAUCUCAUAUUAAAAAUAAUUUUUUUAAAAUUUUUCUAAGUGUGAAUUUUUAUUAUAUAGUAAAUUAAGUGAAAAUUAUAGUGGGUAAGCUUUUUUUAGUGUGCUUUCUAGUACUAUUAUAUAAAUAUUCAUAAUAUAAAAUAGAAGAUACUUGACACUUGAAGUUUAAUUUGUAGUGAGAUUAAUUAGGUUAUUUUUUUUUAAUUAAUUUUGAUAUUUGUAAAUGUUCGGAUAAAAUUAAAUAAUAAUUAUUCAGUUUAAUUCAAAAUAUAAUUUUAUUAUUAAUAUUCAUAUAAUUUCAUUAAAAUAUUUUAAAUCUAUAUAAACUUGUCAUUACAUAAAAGAGAUAAAUAAAAAAAGUAUUUUUUUUCCCUUUGUUUUUUUUUUUAUUCUUUUAGUUUUAAAGAUGUUGUCUCGGUGUGAAAAUAAAAAUACUUUAAAAAUAAUGUUUUUUACCUAUUGAUUUUAGUUUUUAUUUGUUUCCAUAUCCAAAAUAUUUCCAACACAAACACCCUAAACAUUAACCAGCUAGGGAGGUGCACUUUAUGGUGAGAAUAUGUGAAUAACAUAACAGAAGUAGUUCAAUAGUAUGAAUUAAUUUCCCUUGUUAACAAAAAUAAAAUCUUUUAGGAAUUUAAAGAUCUUUUACACUUUUUUUUUUAUCCUAAUUAAAUUUUGGUGAACUAAUCCAUUAUCUUGUCAGAUAAAUCACUUAGUUUCAUUGGAAACUAACAGCAAAUAUUAGCAUUGUGUUCUGCUGCAUAAGCAAAAAAAUUCAAACGCGUAGAAAUAUUUUUGUGAAAUAGAUUCUAUUGUUAGUACGUAACUGUUGUUUAUUUAUGUUCCUGGACAGCAAAAUUUGAUAGAUGGGAGAGAUUCGUUCACCAUACUUUUCUAUUGAUCAAGAACACCUCGAAGAUAAUGCUGAAAUUCGUUCACCAUAUUUCUCAAGUGGUGGAGACUACCUUGGAGUUAAUGCUGAAAUUCGUUCACCAUAUUUUUCAUUUGAUACUCAAGAUUACCAUGGAGAUAAUGCCGGAGUUCAUUCCUCGUAUUUUUCAGCUGCAGACUACCAUGGAGAAGAUGCUGAAAUUCCUUCCGGAACAUUCUUUCACCAAGAUAAUAUUGUUGAGAAUCCAUACAAUCAAGAACACCAGUAUUCUUUUCAAAACACGUACAACGCAGAAAAGGUCAGUCAACAGUCAAAAGGUGAAGAACUGUACUCGGAUCUUGAAGCUGGAGCUGAACGUAAAAGCGGGAAUUAUUGUAUCUACAGAGUUCCUGAUGCACUUCGCAAAUCAAAUGAAGCCAUCUAUACUCCUCAAGAAGUUUCUAUAGGUCCUAUUCACCAUGGCAAGAAGAAUUUGCAGCCCAUGAAUACGCAAAAGCGGAGAUAUUUGAAAGAAUUCUGUAACAGGGUGGGGAACACAAGGGAGCAGCAUGUGAAGUUCCUGGAUGAAAUUGGACACCAUUGAAAACGAAGAGGAGAACAUCCGCCAAUGUUAUGAAGAUGGUUCUCAUGAAGUUGCAGAAAGUGAUCGGUUUGUGAAAAUGGUGUUGUUGGAUGCUGUUUUCAUCUUGGAGUACUUGUUGAGGAAUAAAGAUUCUAAAAAUAUGAAGAUGAUUCCUUAUUGCGUAGAAACGGGUUAAGGUUUCGGAUUCGACGAGACUUGUUGCUGCUCGAGAAUCAGUUGCCAUUCUUCAUUCUUGAGAUAUUAUAUGGCCAUCUUCUUCAAGACGGCGAAGGAAGUUAUACUUCUUUUCGAGAUCUUGCCUACGAGUACUUAAACAGGUACACUAGAGUCCAUACAAGCCGAGAGCGACAACGAGGAGAUAUUACAUUUCACCGAUUUGGUCAGAUCUUCAUUAUCCUUCAACCAUCCAGAUGAGGAGUGACGAACCGAUUGGAAAAUUUUAUAGCGCAACCAAGCUGCAUGAGGCAGCGAUUAAUUUUAAGGAAGUUCGAAAUGAAUGCUUACUUGACGUAAAAUUUUACUUCUACAAAAGUGAGUUACGUAUACCACGUCUUCAGAUAGACCACCACACUGAACUUCUCUUCGGAAAUCUCAUUGCCUUGGAGUGGUGUCAUUAUAAAGGAGAAGAGUACAUCUGCCAUUACGUUAAGCUACUUGAUACUCUUGUUGCCAAACCCAAAGAUGUGGCUCUCCUCAUUAAAAAUAAAUCAUUAAAACAGACAGAGAUGGUGCUUCAGUGAAGAAUCUGAUUGACAAGCUUUCGGCAGAAACUUCUGAAGAAUAUUCCAUUUACCUCUACAAGCAGCUGGAUCAACACUACCAGAAUCCUGGUUGAAAAAUAGCGCAUACUUUAGAGAGGUAUAUUUUGGAAACCUUUGGAGAAGUACUGCAACUGUUAGUGCAACUGUCUUGCUCCUCUCCACUCUUGUACAGACAAUUUGUGCAGUCCUUUCCUUGCGCUAGUACUCCAAGGGGACCAAGUUAGCCCCAAUCCGGUGUCAUUUUAUUUCUCUCAUUGUUGACUUUCGUUGUAUUGUUGUGUACUUUCCGUUUCCUUUGCAGUUUUUCAUUGUACUUCAACUCAUGGGCUUUCUUUGUAUUUAGUAUUCAUGACUUUGUAAUGGAUGCUGUCUUCACUAUCAAGUUCAUCCUGCAGAAUUCAACAAAUCUCCAUCGUAAAGAGUCAAAAAUUAUCUUAGGAAAGCAAAAAUUGAUAGUGAAGAUUAUCUUAGGACUUGAUACUACUCGAAAAUCAACUAACUUACUUCAUUGUUGAGAAACAGUAUGACAAGAGAUAUUACCCUACAUUUCUUCAGCUUAUCUAUAACUACCCUGCAGCGGAGGCAAAACCUCAUCCAAGGGAAGUAAGACAUUUCACUGAUUUGGUAAGGUGUUCUAUAUUGUUGAGAAAAUGAUGAUGAUGGUGAUGAUGAUAAGAUCAAUAGUGUAAAAGAAAAAUCCAACUGCUUUUAGCAGAAUUCAAGGUUGCCUUUCUAUGGUUGCACCUGUUGUCAUAGUACUAGGCAUUCAAAUCAACACAAAGAUCAUGAUAACAAGUAAAAUACUCAUUAAUUUGCUCGCAAAACAAUAAUAAUUAUUUUCAAGAGUAUUUUUAUUUUAAAAUAUAUAUAAAUAAUUUUUAAUAUCAACUGUUAAAUAAUAUUUUUCCUUACUUUUUUAUUUAAGUCAUUGAGAAUGUCUAUUAAUUUGAGUUAUUUUGAAUCUUUAUUACAAAGAAUAUUUUUAAUUAAAUUCUUUUGUCAAAACAAAAAAAUACAUAAAAAGGGCAAUGAAGACAUUGAUCUAAGAAAUGCUAUUUUUUUUUUUCUUUUAAAAUCCAAAUCUUUCUAACUCUUACGAAUAUUGAUUUUAAUUAUUAUAUGAUUAAAUAAAAAUUAGUUUUUGAAAUUACCCCCGCAACAUGAUGCUGGCGGAAAAGCUAUGUACGUUACUCUCUCUCUCUCUUUCGUCCUUUGACAGCUUGUUCAUUCCAGCAAAGAAACAACAGUGGGUGUGGUGGGGAUGGGACUUGGGAUUUUGGUGAACGAUGAUAAUCAGAUGUGGGGACAUUUUAUUAUAAAUAUUAUCUGAGCACCCUAUGGCAUAGCCCAUUGUAAUGAAGUGACUAAUGGCACGUAGGUGGGCCUUCAUUGAGUUCUUGGACUUGAUUUUUUUAAUAUUGUUUUUUAUAUUUUAAAGGGUUGAACAUCAAUUUUCUUUAAAAAAUACGUGAGCAAUAAGUCACCGGCUGAGGCAAGUAGCAUUUCAUCUACGAGCCUAAAUUUCUAACCACUAUGUGGAGUUGGUUGGAAAAUCAGGUUAAUAUUUUGUUUUUUCUUGAUAAAUUCAAUUUUUUAGCCAUUUGAAUUCAAAACACCUCAUGAAGAUUCUUGAAAUACUUAAAAAUCAAUUUAUCAAUCAAAAAUACUUUAAAGAUAUCCAAAAAUCCAAAAUUAAAUCAAGUUUGAUCUGACUUCCUCAUCUUAGAUAUGCUUUCAAAUAAUAUUGAGACUCUAAACAACAACAAUUAAGCCUUUUUUAUUGUAUGAAAUCUAAAAACAUGAAGAAAACUACUUUGAUGGUCGAUAAUAGUGUGAACAAUGACCUUCUUUUUCACCGCUAUACUUUAGCAAUCUCUCUCUCAUUUCUUUAAUCAAGGACUGAAAAUUAACACAAAUUAAUUUUUGUAUCAAAAUUGAAUAUGUGAUUUGAAGGGACCUAAAUUAUAUAAAUUAUAUUAUUUUUAAAGUUUGAGAACCUAAAUGUAUUUUUCGUAAAAACCCUAACAGGCCAUCUAUCUUUUGAUGUAUUUUUCAUUUCACUCCUUUUUUUCAAUUCCAUAAUCUUCCAUCUAUUUCACCUCUAUAUAUAUCAUCUCAUCAGCCUCUCGAGAGUCGACUUAUUUUAGAUAGAAAAAUAUUACUACCAGUCAAGAUCGAGGGAGCAAUGAGCUGGAUCCAUCUUUGCUUCUUGACAAUGACCCAUGCCGAGAAAAUACAGAGGAGAUGGAGAAUUAAUUAAUGGAGAGCAAUGCAAUCAGCUUUCAAAACGAGAGUAGUUUAUCUUGCCCUCCCUCUUGAAGCUUCAAAUGAAAUGGAUCUUUAAUGCCGUCGUUGUAAGGCCAAACUCGGUAACUAUACCGAGAUAUGGAUCAACUUUUUUUUUUUUUUUCUAAAAACAAAUUAAAAUUUAAAAUGCUAUUAUUUUAUUAAAAAAAUAGACAAUAUUUUAACUAAGCAAAGUUCUUAUCUUCUUCGAGUUAUUGAGUUAAACCAUAAGUCAGCUAGAUAUUACUUACUAAUUUAUCACUUAUCUUUUUGCACCAGGUUGGACAUAAGUUUUUUGAAAUAUAUAAAAAAAAUUUAGAUCAUCAGAAACUUUGAAGCAUUAUCAUUAAAUUUAGUAUAAUUGUUUAAAUUUAAAAAAUCUUAAUUUGACUAUUUUUUUAAAUAUUUAGUUAGUGUUUCAAGCUCGCAACAUGAAUUAUGUAUUCAAUUAACUUUGAUUAAUUUUUUUUUUAUUUGAUGAUAGAAAACAUAAAAAUUGAUUUAUCAUUAAAUCAAUACUCUUAGAUAAAAUUCAAUAAAAAUCUCAAAUUAAAUGAUGCAAUUAUAAAAAAAGGGGCAAAAGAUAUAAACAAAAGAGCCAAAAAAAUCUUGAUCCGAAUCUUUAAUUAAUAUUUAGCUAACUUUUAAUUUAAAUAUUGAUGCAAUGGACUUUACAUAUUGAUUUUUUUUAAUUUAUUAUAUGAUAAGACAAAAACUAAUUUACUAUUAAUCCAAUAUCAAUGAUAAAAUUUAAUAAAAAAUUCAUACUAAAUAAUGAAAUUUAAAAAAAAAAAAACAAUAUAAAAAAAUUAAAAAUCCCAACCAGACUUUUUAAUGAAUAUUUAAUUAACUCAUUAAAGCUACAAUUCUAGUUAUAAACUUUAUUGGUUUUAUUCAAGUUUUUAAUUUUAUUAUAUAAUAAAAAAUAAAAAAUUAAUUUAUUAUUAAGAAAACUAAGAUUGAAUAAAAACCCUUUAAUGAUAGGAGUAUGAAAAAAAAAUAUCCAAGAAAAAAAGCCCAGUCACCCUCAGCUUGUUCAUAGGAGCCAGGAAUGCGAACCUGAAAGUCGUCUCUGUUUGAUUUUAAAAAAAUAACAGCCACUGGCUUCUUUGCUACUGAAUUCUCGAUCGAAGAAGCAAAAUUAAAAAAAAAAAAAUCGAAUCCAAAACAGGAGUUAGUUGAAUUUGUUUUGACAAGAGAGAAAAGGAUAGUUAAACACAAAACAAGGAGAGAGAGAGAGAGAGAUGAGAGAUUUUUCAAUGGGGAACUUUUGACGAAAAAAAAGAAGAUAUUUUGAUGUAAAUUGCGGGGUCACAAAUUGAUUAUGAAUAUUAAGUUCUGUUUGGUAACGCAGUCUUCAAUUCUCCGUGUAUUUAAGAAAUACUGUUUUGUUUUGUUGGGUGUUUGAAAAUAUAGUUAUAAUUGCUUUUCAAAUAUAUUUUUACUAAAAAGAAUAUGUUAAUUUUUAUUUUUAAAAAAAUAUUUUUGAGAUUAGUACAUUAAAAUGAUUUGAAAACAUCAAAAAUAUAUUAAUAAAAAAAAAUUAAAUUUUUUAAAAAAUACUUUUAAAAUACAGCGCUAAACACGCUCCCACAGCAAACAACCAGAACUCCAGGUUGAAAAAUAGCGCAUACUUUAGAGAGGUAAUUUUGGAAACCUUUGGAGAAGUACUGCAACUGUUAGUGCAACUGUCUUGCUCCUCUUCACUCUUGUACAGACAAUUUGUGCAGUCCUUUCCUUGCGCUAGUACUCCAAGGGGACCAAGUUAGCCCCAAUCCGGUGUCAUUUUAUUUCUCUCAUUGUUGACUUUCGUUGUAUUGUUUGUGUACUUUCCGUUUCCUUUGCAGUUUUUCAUUGUACUUCAACUCAUGGGCUUUCUUUGUAUUUAGUAUUCAUGACUUUGUAAUGGACGCUGUCUUCGCUAUCAAGUUCAUCCUGCAGAAUUCAACAAAUCUCCAUCCUAAAGAGUCAAAAAUUAUCUUAGGAAAGCAAAAAUUGAUAGUGAAGAUUAUCUUAGGACUUGAUACUACUCGAAAAUCAACUACCUAAGGGCGGAGUCAUGAAUUUUUUUUAUCCUGGACUAUUAAAUAAAAAUAUAAAUAUAUUUUAAGAUCGAUUAUUAAUUCAUGUACAUUAAUUUUUAAAAUUAAUAUUAAAGUUUUAAUUCAAAUACAUUAUCCAAAAUAUUAAAAAAUAAAUUUGAAAGUAUAUAAAAUUAAGACGAAAGUAAAAAUAAACUCACUAUUAAAGUUACAUCCUUCGAUGUUUUGUGGAAUAUAAUUCAUCUAUAAUCGAAUCUGAAUCGAUAUUGUAACAACCCCUCAACCGGGAUAAAAUAACAAUCUCAUGUCAACUGGAAAAUAAAGUAAUUAAAUUUUUUUCCUCUUUUAAUUCCUUCUUCCUUCACUUGAUUCUUCCUAGAUUAGUGUUUUAUAAGUUGGACUUUGUAAGUUUACAAGGUUAUUUCUCACUUUUAUUUUUUUCUUGGAAUUUUUUUAUGUUUUUCCCUUACUUUUUUCUAUUUCUCUCUCGCCUUUUCUUUUCUUUCUUCUUCUAUUCUGCUUCUGCUCAGUCGGCAACAUAUAAAAGGAAGGAGGAGCUGAUUUGUUUUAUUUUUUAAUGGCAAAUAACCAUUUUACUCUUAAUGAGUCAUUUUGCUUUUAUUUGACGGUCUUUUUUUUGUUAGCACUACCAAGCUCCGUUCAUCCUAAACUCUUAACUAGAUUUUAUUCAAUAUAUUUUAAGAUCCCUCGUAAAAUUUCAACUCGAUCUGAUGGUCGGAUUGAAAAUUACAUCCAAUAACGUAAAACUGAUCAAAUUGUGAUUUUUCAUCAAAUUUCUAAAUUUCUCCAAAAAUUCUGAAAUUUUAACCCAAGCUAAAGCAUCAUAUUAGAAGGCUCCACGUAAAUUUUCAGAAUUUUUUGAUAACUUAAUUGAGAAUUAUAAAUUUUUUUACAUAAAACUAGUUAAAAAAUAUUGAUAAAAUCUUGACCUAGGCUAAAGCCCACCCCAGCCUUUACCAUGCCUCCGCCUAUUUACUACCUUACUUAAUUGUUGAGAAACAGUAUGACAAGAGAUAUUACCCUACAUUUCUUCAGCUUAUCUGUAACUACCCUGCAGUGGAGGCAAAACCUCAUCCACGGGAAGUAAGACAUUUCACUGAUUUGGUAAGGUGUUCUAUGUUGAUUGAGCCUAGUCCUCGAAACCUUGACUUUCCUAUUGAACUCAAAUAUAAGGCAACCACGCUCGUUAAGGCAGGAGUUAAGUUUGUAGUUGUUGAUAAUAACCAUCUGGUUGACAUAAGAUUUGAUAAUGGGGUGUUGAAAAUACCACGCUUGGUCACUGGAAAUUAACAUUUUCGAAUGUACAAUUCGAAAUAUUAUAUGGCCUUGGAGCAGUUCCAUUACUAUCCAAAUGCAACUAAUUACAUAUGCGAUCACUUGUCAAGACUGAAGAAGAUGUGGAUUUGAUUGUCAGCUGGCUAGAGGACAACGCUAUGGUACCAGAUUUGAUCAACCAACUUUGUGGAGGAUUUGGACAAAUUUACACUCGCCAUCGUCAUGUCCGUGAAGGAUUAAAUGCUUUUUUUUUUAAUGAAGAAUUUACAAGGACUAAUUAACACAACCAUAGAAGAGUAGUAACCUAGAAAGUAGAAACUUAUUGAAGAAAAAAUGAAUUAUAUAGGCAGCCAUGUUAGAGGUCUUAAGGAAUGUUGAAUAAGGUGCAGAAAUGCUGAGCAUUUUCCUCUUCAUCACAUAAACAUAUAUUUAGGGCAACGAACAGGUAUCUUCAACUUCCAUGGAGCCCUCGGGUCCGCAGUUAUUAGUAGAACCAAAAACCAACAGAGUUAAACUAAUUAAUUGAAUUUUUAUCGAUGUAACUAUGAGAUUAAUAUUUUAUCAAUGAUGAGAUCAAUAGUGUAAAAGAAAAAUCCAACUGCUUUCAGCAGAAUAUAACACUGCAUUAGACUGACAAAAACUACUCGGAAAACAAUCCUGCUACUACAGUAGCUUCAAACCGCCUGCUUCGAGCCUAUAGAAGCAACUGUAUUGAAAUAAACACCAAUUAUGGAGAACAUAUGGGAAACCAUAACCAGAUACUGACUGUAGUAAUAAAACUAGAUAAGCUGCUUUGGACCUAGAAGUGAAAUUAUUGAACAUACAGUCUGUAUCAAAGUGAGGAUCAGCAGGACAGCUGCAGCAACAGUUCCGGUACCUCUCCAAAGAUUGCUGAAAUAUACAAGUUUCAAGGUUGCCUUUCUAUGAUUGCACCUGUUCUCAUAGUAGGCAUUCAAAUCAACACAAAGAUCAUGAUAACAAGUGAAAAAUUCAUUAAUUUGCUCGCAAAGCCGGUUAAUCAAAUCGGCAACCAUGGCGUUGUUUCCUAGCCAGUUAUCAAUCACCCCCACUUUAACCAGCAAAUCCACAUCUUCUUCAGUGUUGAUAAGAUGGUCCAUUAACAUAAAGUAAUUGCAUAUGUAAGUACUAUAUGGGUAGUGGCACUGCUCAUAUGCCAUGAGGUUUCGUGUCACAUAUUCGAAGCUCUGAUUUACUUCAAAGCGUGGCAUUUUCAACACUCCGUUGACAAAAUUUAUGUCGAGUACACAACUGUUUUCAGUUGCCUCAAACUUCAAUCCUGCUUUAUGAAGCAUGGUUGCACUGUAUUUCAGUUUGACAUUGGCACUAGGACGACGAGGUAAUAUCUCCAGGGACUCAUUCAACAUAGCAUAUCUCAGAAAAUCAGUGAAAUGCUUUAUCCCUACUGAGUUGACUUUUGGUCUCUGUGAAAUCCUGUAGUAAUGUCCAAAGUAGAAGGCGACAAGCUCAGGAAAAGUCAGGCUAGCUUGUGUUUCAGGGUCUGGAUAGGUUUGCUCGUAUAUUUUCUCCAGAAUGAAAUAAGGUAGCUGAUUUUCAAGUAGUAUCAAGUCCACUUGUAAACCAAACAUCAUCCGAGGCUCAGGUAAUAUAGGAACUUCUUCACAGAAAAGGUUAAGGAACUGCAACAAGAAUUCGAUGACGAAUACAGCAUCCAACAGAAUCAUCUUUAAAAAUCACAGCUACGAUUGAAGUUAUAACAGCCUCGAAUUUCCAUUUCAUUCUUCUGAACUAUGGUCACAAGAUCGUCCAAUGUCACCUUCUUCCCAUCCAUGAAUUCUGCUAAAUAUCUCAAUUUCUGCUCCUCCAUUGACACUAGUUCCUCAUGGCCACAGUGAGCAGGGCCUAGUGAAACUACUUGUGGGGUGUAGGCUUUCGGUUCUAUGCUUCGAAGUGAGCGGGGUACCUCGUAGAUACAGUGCUCGGGACAUUUUCCAGGUUUGAACCUUGCUAUCCCAUCUGCUAGAUCUUUCAGAACAUUUGAAGCACUUGCCGCUUCAAUCUCCUUUCCCGUGUUUGAAGCACUUGCCUUAUCAAUCCUGUUUUCAUUAUUUGAACGUGUUGCCAUGCCAAUAUCCUUAUUUGAAGCACUUGGGGUAUUAAUAUUGUUUUCCAUUUGUCAACAGAUUUUUGUCCUGGAGAGACAGCCAAUUGAAUCACUGGCAAUAAAAAUAUAUCUCCAAAUCAAGUGUACCAUGGUUGCUACAAUCUUACAUUCAUUUCAAUUCACAUUUAAAACGAUUUAUUUUUGUUUUCCAGCCACUCUUAACAAGUUUUAAGACCAGAUCAAACAAAUCAAAACAAAACAACUGUAUAAGAAACUAUUUUCAAGGAAAGAUCAUGAAGUUGAAUGAAAAAUACAGAGCAAAUCAUGGGAGAUUACAUGUGUAUUAUGGCUAUUGUUAAUUUCCCAUCAUCCUGAUCCAUAGAUUAUAUAGAUGUGUCAUGUAGAGUACUUUUUAACAUUAUCUAUGAUAUGAUCUCGGCCAUGUGGAUCCGUAAUUUUAUCAUUGUUUUGAUUCAGCUCUAGCAAUUUAUUUGUUCAGUUUGUUCUGUGUUUAGUUUUUUUGUUUUGUUUUGUUUUAAUUAUGAAUGUGAACCUCCACUGGCCUUAAUUAAACCAAAUUGAGAUGUGGGAUUAAGUUAUGUCAUGGGAAGUAAGAAUUCUGCUUCAAGAUUGUCAAUUGAAUGUUUUAUGAAAAAAAUGUGAAUUCUCUAUUUUAUCAUGUAAUGAUCUAUCUGGGCAUUUCAUUGAUUUAUUAUUAUUAUUAUUGGUUGAAUUGAAGAUGAGGCAGAAUUCAUGAGAACUAAGAACAUCAUCAUAUACUAAAUUCUUUUAUUCUAUAUAUAUAUAUAUAUACACUAUUGUUUUUUGGUCCUCCAGCUUUAGCUUUCAAUUUGUUUUUCUAAGGAGUCAUAACCUAAUUUUGUAAAAUUUAACAACAAGAAAACCUAAAAAAAUAUAAGAAAAUCUGGACAAAACAGAUUAAAACACACCCAAGUGCAUAAAACCACGAAAACAUAACUUUUAAGGCCUAAUUUGAAAGGAACAAUAGUUAGGGAAACAAACUAUAUAAUUGAUUGUCGUCAAUUAACAACAAAAAAACCUAACAAAAUAUAAGAAAAUCUGGGCAAAACAGAUUAAAACACUCCCUAGCGAAUAAAACCACGAAAACAACUCUUCCUAGCUAAAGACCAUCUCUUUUUAGUGUUGUUCUGCAAAAAGCCAAAACUGUUUUCUGCCAAGUAUAGAACCAUUUUGGAAUAUUUAUUGCUGAAGCAAUGCAAUUGCCUUUUCCGAAGGAAAGUUGUGUGCUGGGAUAUUUCUACGUACACAAUUCCUUCGGAAGUAGUAUGUAUGGAUAUCCUACACAGCUUAUCAGCUGUGAUCUUACGAGAGAAUCUUAAUCUUUAGUUAUAAUGGAGCAAUUAACCUCGCAGGGUAGGGGAGAUCGGCCAAGUAAUCGAGAACUCAUGAGGGUUAAAGCCUAAAGGACGAACUUCAUUUAUCAUUAAGAAGUAAGAACCGCUAAAUUAAGGCUUAAUUGAAAACUUUAAACAAAUAUAGUGAAACAAAAGAUGAACAUGAACAGAAAGAAAAAAGAACAGUAAAAGUAGCUAGUGCGCAAAGAACCUGAGUGCCUUUACCUGAGGAAAGCAAUUGUUUUGUUGUAAGCAGCACGCAGCCCCUUCCCUGGAUAUUGCUAUACUGAUCUGUUGAAUGCAGCCUCCCUCUCUCACUCUCUAUGUCUCCCUAAUAUGUAUAAUAAACAAGUAGUAUUCUUCUCUGUCUACUUGUCAUUGUUUCUCUCUCGUUUGGAAAUUACCGUCUUUUGAUUUAUUUUUUAGCUUCCAUCCAUGGCUUUUCAUUUUUUAGCUUUUUAAAGGGCUGGACAUCAUUUCUUU
Molecule: long non-coding RNA, 21499 nt
Filed under: Populus tremula
Lineage: Eukaryota; Viridiplantae; Streptophyta; Magnoliopsida; Malpighiales; Salicaceae
Description: long non-coding RNA (PTRE_LNC000916)
Source: RNAcentral